AGUGAACGCUGGCGGUAGGCCUAACACAUGCAAGUCGAACGGCAGCACAGUAAGAGCUUGCUCUUACGGGUGGCGAGUGGCGGACGGGUGAGGAAUACAUCGGAAUCUACUUUUUCGUGGGGGAUAACGUAGGGAAACUUACGCUAAUACCGCAUACGACCUACGGGUGAAAGCAGGGGAUCUUCGGACCUUGCGCGAUUGAAUGAGCCGAUGUCGGAUUAGCUAGUUGGGGGGGUAAAGGCCCACCGAGGCGACGAUCCGUAGCUGGUCUGAGAGGAUGAUCAGCCACACUGGAACUGAGACACGGUCCAGACUCCUACGGGAGGCAGCAGUGGGGAAUAUUGGAGAAUGGGCGAAAGCCUGAUCCAGCCAUACCGCGUGGGUGAAGAAGGCCUUCGGGUUGUAAAGCCCUUUUGUUGGGAAAGAAAAGCAGCAGGUUAAUACCCCGCUGUUCUGACGGUACCCAAAGAAUAAGCACCGGCUAACUUCGUG
RNAcentral lists this ribosomal RNA (492 nucleotides) under uncultured bacterium. RNAcentral describes it as "partial 16S ribosomal RNA". It matches the Rfam family "Bacterial small subunit ribosomal RNA", at positions 29 to 507 of the family's 1533-position model. The record is from RNAcentral.